CAGCACCGCAAGUGGUCAGGAUGAUUAUUGGGCCUAAAGCAUCCGUAGCCGGCUCUGUAAGUUUUCGGUUAAAUCUGUAUGCUCAACAUACAGGCUGCCGGGAAUACUGCAGAGCUAGGGAGUGGGAGAGGUAGACGGUACUCGGUAGGAAGGGGUAAAAUCCUUUGAUCUAUUGAUGACCACCUGUGGCGAAGGCGGUCUACCAGAACACGUCCGACGGUGAGGGAUGAAAGCUGGGGGAGCGAACCGGAUUAGAUACCCGAGUAGUCC
RNAcentral lists this ribosomal RNA (270 nucleotides) under uncultured archaeon. RNAcentral's name for it is "partial 16S ribosomal RNA". It matches the Rfam family "Archaeal small subunit ribosomal RNA", at positions 477 to 747 of the family's 1478-position model. The record is from RNAcentral.